AUAGUUCUUGGCCGCGGGUGUAUGUGGUAUGUUCCUCUCCCACCGGAAGAACUUCGAGGAUUGUGACUAAGCAAGAACAGAGAGCGCUAGGGUGUAUGCGGCAUGUUCCUCUCCCUAUCGGGGAUCUCGGCUGCGGGUGUAUGCGGCAUGUUCCUCUCCCACCGGGGGAUCCCUGACCACGGUGCGCGGACCUUCGUGCGGACCAUUGGGCAAUGUGGUUCUUGGCUUGCAGGCUGAGGUGCAUGUGACAGGUUCCUUCACCUCGAGCCCGGCAGAGCGCGGAUUAUCCGCAGUUGAUUGACUCGAGGCCGAGUCAGGUGGCUAGCUGGAAUAAGGUAGAUAGAAUCUUGAGGGCUAGUGGUAAAAGUGAUAAAUCUAAGGUAAUAGAGACCUUAGAAGCCAGUGGAACUGAGUUGUAAACCUAAGGUAGUAGAAACCUUAGUAUUGAAUGACAUGAGCUAAAGUUAGCAAGGUUGAAUGUAGAAUUAUUAAUUCUGCUAGUUGUUGCAUAUAUAUUCAUGUUACAUAUAGCAUGGCAUCGUUACAGUUGUGAGGCAAAGCAAGGUAAAGUUAGUUGCAUGUUUAAGACAUUAUAUCUAUCUGUUUAUUGGACUAACUUGUAUUUGCCUCCUUUGGACCUGUUGGUCGAGCUCUUCCCUUGGGUGGCCGUACCCACUGGGAACCAUGGAGUUGGUUCUCACCCCACGUUGUUUUGGGGUGUUACAGGUUCGCACGUGAGCGGCGCGGCGGCGCGAGGCAAGGGCGUAGCUCCGUAGAUAGCGCCCUACCAUCGAGACCGAGAUAGAGGUACCCCGAGCCGGCACAGCCUAGGGGUAGAGGGAGAUAAAAAGAACAAAAUGUAUUCAAACUUGUAAAUAAUGAUAUAGUAACUUAAUUGCAUUUGGAGGUUUAAUGUAAAAAU
Molecule: long non-coding RNA, 922 nt
Filed under: Ananas comosus (pineapple)
Lineage: Eukaryota; Viridiplantae; Streptophyta; Magnoliopsida; Poales; Bromeliaceae
Description: long non-coding RNA (ACOM_LNC029000)
Source: RNAcentral